Molecule: ribosomal RNA, 322 nt
Filed under: uncultured eukaryote
Lineage: Eukaryota
Description: partial 18S ribosomal RNA
Rfam family: Eukaryotic small subunit ribosomal RNA
Source: RNAcentral
CCCUUAGAUGUUCUGGGCCGCACGCGUGCUACACUGAGUGGAUCAGCGGGUCAGGUUGCGCGAAAGUGUUUCCUAAUCUUUAAAUCCGCUCGUGAUGGGGAUUGACGGUUGCAAUUUUCCGUCAUGAACGAGGAAUACCUUGUAAGCGCGGGUCAUCAUCCCGCGCUGAAUACGUCCCUGCCCUUUGAACACACCGCCCGUCGCUCCUACCGAUUGAGUGGUCCGGUGAGGCUUUGGGAUCUGAGCGGAAAGAGCGUUUCGCUGUUUCUGCCCGGAAAACUCAGUCGAACCUUAUCAUUUAGAGGAAGGAGAAGUCGUAACA